CUUGUUCCUUGUGCGUAGGGAGCCGCGUUUUCUGACUCUGUCUGGUACCUCCCCGGGGUAGUUGUAGGCACGGAAAUCCUAAAAACAGCCUAAGGACGUGAGGGCUCUGGAAACAGAGCUUCGCCAAGAGUCUGUUUCCAGGUAAAUUCUCUAUGCCAGUUUCAUCGAUCAUGAAAUUAAGCAGUGCCCUUUGGGGGAAGUGAUUACCUGCCCAGCACACUCUUUUACGGGAAAAAUUUUAUAAUAUAGGUAGCAAAAGCAUUAAUGAAUGCAACGAAAGGAGAAACCCAACUGGGAGAUAGCACAGAAGAGAUACUUAUUCAGGGCUCCCAUACCCAGGCUCCUAUAUGCUGCCAUUCUCUAAAACCAAGAGCCCAGUGAAUAUUUAACUAGCUUAUCUGCCCAGUAGCAUUUGUUUUACUUACACUAGCUAACCGAAAAUUAGAAAUAAUCUAUAACUUACUUUCAGACUCCCGCGGAUCUUGGCUGUGUCGCUUAACUUACUCUACACUUAAGGUAGCUUGAAUCCAGCUACCAGGUCAGCCCAGAUGGCAACAUAUGCAAACAGCUGAAAUAAUCUAAUAUAUGGCUUUCUUUGUUGUUGUUGUUGUUUUGGUUUUAGUUUUGAGACAGGGUUUCUCUGUGUAGCCCUGGCUGUCCUGGAACUCAUUCUGUAGACCAGGCUGUCCUUAAACACAGAUUCGCCUGCCUUUGCCACUCUUGUGCUUGGAUUAAAGGCGUGGGUCGUCACUACCCAGCGGUUUUCUUUAUCAUAAAAUAGACUUGGGUGCUUGACUCCUCAGCUCUACGAUGUGUGACACUUAGCUUGGUAUGGCAUCCAUCCAACAGCCACAAAUUUGGGGUAUAUGAAAAUUCGUACCGAAUAACAUACCUUACUGUUAGAGACCUGCAUCUUCAUGUUAAAUAUGGAUUGGUUGCUAUCAACUGUAAGCUAUACUUAAAUAAGAUGGGAUUUUGCUUGUUUGGUUUGGUUUUUCAAGAUAGGAUCUCUCUGUGUAGCCUUGGCUGUCCUGUACUCCCUUUGUAGAACAGGCUGGCCGAACUCACAUCGAUCCAAUGUAAUCCUAGCACUGCUUCCUGAGUGCUAGGAUUAAAGGUGUGUGUCACCAUCUCCCAGCUAUUUUGCACUUUUUUUUUUGUUUAAUUUAUUCUUAAAUAUUUUAAUCUCUCCCAUAUCCACACUUUCCAUCCUACGUCCCUUCCCACCCAACUUUGAGUUUUUUCCUCUUCUACCCCAUCAAGCUCAGUUUGUGUUGCCCAACCUCUUUUGGGAGUAGGGCAUGCCUUGAGUGUGCUUGACCUACCGGGAGUCAACACACGGAAGAAAGCUGACUCUCCCUACCUCAGCAGCUGUCGGCUGCCAGUAUCUCCUCUGCUAUUGACGGGAGUUUGUGCCCAUCUGCCCAUCUGUGCUUUUGUCUGCUAGAGCUUUUGUGGGCCCUGUGCCCUCUGUCACAGGUGUGUCUGGGAAGUGCUAUUUUCUCGAACUUAUCCUUCACAUCUGGUUCUUAAAAUCUUCUGCCCCCUCUUCUUCACCACCUGAGUGCUUGGUGGGAAGGGUAUAACUUACGCAUCCCAUUAAAGGCUGAACACUCUAUAAUUCCUUAGUCUCUUCACCUUGACCAAUUAAGGGUCUCUGUGUCACUUACCACCCUGAUGAAGACUGAUGAAGGUUACGAGAUAAACUGUCCAACAGGUAUAGCAAUGAGUCAGUUUAAUACUAUGUUUAUUUAGCAGAAAAAAAUAGUAUAAAGUAUUCUCUGAGGCCUAUGACCUAUCUAGCCACAGGUUCUGGGCCCAGUUAACAGUUCCAGGAAUGAGUCCAGUCUGAGAUCCACCCUUAGAGCACAAAGUGGUUGGUUAUUCCCAUAACAUUUAUGUCACUAUUGCACAGUGGUCAUAUUUUGUCAGGCCCGUCACUGUUGUAGUUUGCAAGGUUCACAGCUGCAUUAAAUUUAUACUUAGUUUUCUCCUUCAGUAGCAGAAAUACAACAUUCUAGGCCUAUGAAAGUUAGCCACUAUGAAUAAAGCUUCCAGGUGAGUAUUGGCUUGAUAGCUCUGUAUUCUGUGACCUUGGUAUGUGGUGUUUUCAGCAGCAACAGGGUCUUACCUUCAGGUUCUGGAGGGUAAUCAAGAAUAUUAGCAAUUCUCUAUAAUACUUGGGUUCGGGGUGGGGGUCUAUGGAAUCUCAUUGGCCAACAACUCACAAAAAAAAAAGUGACCCAUUUAUGGUAAUGAGGUUCUUAUUUGUUAGCAUGUGGUGUCUAGCUGGGGUAUUACCCUCUAUCUCAUUACAGGGAAUCUCCAUUAAAAUUGUGUGUGUGUGUGUGUGUGUGUGUGUGUGUGUGUGUGUGUGUGUGUAGAAGCUUCUAUAGUAGUAGGUUUCAAAUUUGAGUAGAUCCAAAUAAUUGAGUCCUUUUUUUUUUUCCUUUGCUGAUUGAAAUUUGUCAAUUUUCUUGAUUUUUUUGAAGAACCAACUUUUAGUUUCAUUGACUUUUCUCUAUUUCCUGGCCUCCAAAUCAGGAAUUGAUGCUGCAAUUCCUGUUUCCUUGCUUCUUACUGCAGUUGAUUUUAUGUUUCUCCCUGCUCAUUAAUAUGGAAGCUGAAGUUAAUGGCCUGAGAUUACUCCUGCUUUUCAAAAAUUUUUCCUGUGGUUGUGGGAAGACUGUCCAUAGGGUUUCCUUUAUGUGCAUGAUGGCAACGUAAUGCAGUUGAAAAGAGACACAAACAGUCUACAGAGAGUUUGUCCCAAUGUGGAACAAAAUAAAAAGAAGCCUGUUUGGAGAACAGUGAUUGAGGGGACAAGCAGUAGGACACAGAUUCUGCAUGGUCAAGCUUUCGUAUCACCUUGUUUUACUUCAGCUUCGAAGGUGGGGCUGUGCUGGGGUGCAUAACUGUAUGUGCAUGUUUGUGUGUGGAGAAUCCAGAAGCCAACCUCAGGCGUCAUUCCUCACUCAGUAACCAGACAGGCUCUCUCACUGGAACCAGGGGCUCACCAAUUAGGCUAAGCUGGCUAGACAGCGAACCCCAAGGAUCUACCACCAUCUCCAACUCCCCAGCUCCGCUAUUAUAAGUCUCACCACUACACAUGGCUUACAAAAAUUCUAGGGGCUGACUACCCACAGGUCCUUAUACCUGGAGGUAAGCACUAUCGAACCAGCCCAUUACUUGUCCAUUAAAAGAAAAAGUUGGUGGGCAGUGGUGGCGCACGCCUUUAAUCCCAGCACUGGGGAGGCAGAGGCAGGAGGAUCUCUGUGAGCUUGAGGCCAGCCUGGACUACAGAGCUAGUUCAAGGAUAGCCAAGGCCACACAGAGAAACCCUGUCUCGAAAGAAAGAAGGAAAGAAAGAAAGAAAGAAAGAAAGAAAGAAAGAAAGAAAGAAAGAAAGAGAGAGAGAAAGAAAGAAAACAAGCAAGCAAGCAAAAAUAGUGCUUGGAAAGCAAAGGCAGGAAGAUCUUUUUGAGUUCGAAGCCAAACUGUUCACACAGGGAGUUACAGGCCAGCCAGGACCACAUAAAUUUACAGUCAGCAUUGUAAAUUAGCCAAGAAAGAUCUAGUGAAAGGUCACAGCCAGGUCUGACUACCUGAGUUGGAUCUCAGGAGGAGAGCACUGACUCCCACAGCCUGACCUCUAACCUCCACAUGCACACAAACACACACUAGC
Molecule: long non-coding RNA, 3685 nt
Organism: Meriones unguiculatus (Mongolian gerbil)
Lineage: Eukaryota; Metazoa; Chordata; Mammalia; Rodentia; Muridae
Exons: 3
Source: RefSeq, a predicted model, not a curated record